CCUACGGGUGGCAGCAGGGAGGAAUAUUGGUCAAUGGGCGCGAGCCUGAACCAGCCAAGUAGCGUGAAGGAUGACUGCCCUACGGGGUGUAAACUUCGUGUAUAAAGGAAUAAAGUGAGGCACGUGUGCCUUUGUGUAUGUACUUUAUGAAUAAGGAUCGGCUAACUCCGUGCCAGCAGACGCGGUAAUACGGAGGAUCCGAGCGUUAUCCGGAUUUAUUGGGGUUAAAGGGAGCGUAGAUGGGUUGUUAAGUCAGUUGUGACAGUUUGCGGCUCACCCGUAAAAUUGCAUUUGAUACUGGCAGCCUUGAGUACAGUUGCGGUCGGCGGCAUUC
This 334-nucleotide ribosomal RNA is filed under the name uncultured bacterium. RNAcentral's name for it is "partial 16S ribosomal RNA". It matches the Rfam family "Bacterial small subunit ribosomal RNA", at positions 338 to 669 of the family's 1533-position model. The record is from RNAcentral.